UACGUAGGGGGCAAGCGUUGUCCGGAUUUAUUGGGCGUAAAGAGCGUGUAGGCGGUUCGGUAGGUCCGUUGUGAAAACUCGAGGCUCAACCUCGAGACGCCGAUGGAAACCCCCGAACUAGAGUCCGGAAGAGGAGAGUGGAAUUCCUGGUGUAGCGGUGAAAUGCGCAGAUAUCAGGAGGAACACCAAUAGCGAAGGCAGCUCGCUGGGACGGUACUGACGCUAAGGCGCGAAAGCGUUGGGAGCGAACAGG
This 253-nucleotide ribosomal RNA is filed under the name uncultured bacterium. RNAcentral's name for it is "partial 16S ribosomal RNA". It matches the Rfam family "Bacterial small subunit ribosomal RNA", at positions 524 to 776 of the family's 1533-position model. The record is from RNAcentral.